This 465-nucleotide ribosomal RNA is filed under the name uncultured bacterium. RNAcentral describes it as "partial 16S ribosomal RNA". It matches the Rfam family "Bacterial small subunit ribosomal RNA", at positions 338 to 795 of the family's 1533-position model. The record is from RNAcentral.
CCUACGGGAGGCAGCAGUGGGGAAUAUUGCGCAAUGGGCGAAAGCCUGACGCAGCGACGCAGCGUGAGGGAUGAAGGUCUUCGGAUCGUAAACCUCUGUCAGCAGGGAAGAACGGUCACUGUGCUAAUCAGCAGUGAAUUGACGGUACCUGCAAAGGAAGCACAGGCUAACUCCGUGCCACCAGCCGCGGUAAUACGGAGGGUGCGAGCGUUAAUCGGAAUUACCGGGCGUAAAGCGCUCGUAGGAGGUCUGUCAAGUCAAGGGUGAAAUCCCCGCGCUCAACGUGGGAACUGCCUUUGAAACUGGCAAAAUGGAGUGUGUGAGAGGAUAGGGGAAGUCCAGGUGUAGGAGUGAAAUCCGUAGAUAUCUGGAGGAACAUCAGUGGCGAAGGCGACUAUCUGGCACAUAACUGACGCUGAGGAGCGAAAGCGUGGGUAGCAAACAGGAUUAGAUACCCUAGUAGUC